This 466-nucleotide ribosomal RNA is filed under the name uncultured bacterium. RNAcentral's name for it is "partial 16S ribosomal RNA". It matches the Rfam family "Bacterial small subunit ribosomal RNA", at positions 339 to 795 of the family's 1533-position model. The record is from RNAcentral.
CUACGGGGGGCUCCAGUGGGGAAUAUUGGACAAUGGGGGAAACCCUGAUCCAGCAAUGCCGCGUGUGUGAAGAAGGCCUGCGGGUUGUAAAGCACUUUCGGUUGGGAGGACUGCUUCUAGCACUAAUAUUGUUGGAGGUUGACGUUACCUUCAGAAGAAGCACCGGCUAACUCCGUGCCAGCAGCCGCGGUAGAUACGGAGGGUGCAAGCGUUAAUCGGAAUUACUGGGCGUAAAGCGCGCGUAGGCGGCUAGAUCAGUCGGGUGUGAAAGCCCCGGGCUUAACCUGGGAACUGCAUCCGAUACUGUCUAGCUUGAGUACAGGAGAGGAGAGUGGAAUUCCACAUGUAGCGGUGAAAUGCGUAGAUAUGUGGAGGAACACCAAUGGCGAAGGCAGCUCUCUGGCCUGAUACUGACGCUGAGGUGCGAAAGCGUGGGGAGCAAACAGGAUUAGAUACCCCCGUAGUC